GCCCGGGUGGCGAAAUUGGUAGACGCAAGGGACUUAAAAUCCCUCGGAGGCAACUCCUUGCCGGUUCGAUUCCGGCCCCGGGCACCA
This 87-nucleotide transfer RNA is filed under the name Lysobacterales bacterium. RNAcentral's name for it is "tRNA-Leu". It matches the Rfam family "tRNA". From Rfam's summary of the family: Transfer RNA (tRNA) molecules are approximately 80 nucleotides in length. Lineage: Bacteria; Pseudomonadati; Pseudomonadota; Gammaproteobacteria; Lysobacterales. The record is from RNAcentral.